This 425-nucleotide ribosomal RNA is filed under the name uncultured bacterium. Its description in RNAcentral is "partial 16S ribosomal RNA". It matches the Rfam family "Bacterial small subunit ribosomal RNA", at positions 354 to 796 of the family's 1533-position model. The record is from RNAcentral.
GUGGGGAAUCUUGCGUAAUGGGCGAAAGCCUGACGCAGCCAUGCCGCGUGAAUGAUGAAGGUCUUAGGAUUGUAAAAUUCUUUCACCGGGGACGAUAAUGACGGUACCCGGAGAAGAAGCCCCGGCUAACUUCGUGCCAGCAGCCGCGGUAAUACGAAGGGGGCUAGCGUUGCUCGGAAUUACUGGGCGUAAAGGGCGCGUAGGCGGACAGUUUAGUCAGAGGUGAAAGCCCAGGGCUCAACCUUGGAAUUGCCUUUGAUACUGGCUGUCUUGAGUACGGGAGAGGUGAGUGGAACUCCGAGUGUAGAGGUGAAAUUCGUAGAUAUUCGGAAGAACACCAGUGGCGAAGGCGACUCACUGGCCCAAUACUGACGCUGAGGCGCGAAAGCGUGGGGAGCAAACAGGAUUAGAUACCCUAGUAGUCC